This 73-nucleotide transfer RNA is filed under the name Camelus bactrianus (Bactrian camel). It matches the Rfam family "tRNA". From Rfam's summary of the family: Transfer RNA (tRNA) molecules are approximately 80 nucleotides in length. Their secondary structure includes four short double-helical elements and three loops (D, anti-codon, and T loops). Lineage: Eukaryota; Metazoa; Chordata; Mammalia; Artiodactyla; Camelidae. RNAcentral also lists the same sequence under 3 other names. The record is from Rfam by way of RNAcentral.
GAGGGUAUAGCACAGUGAUAGAGUGCAUGCUUAGCAGGCAUGAGGUUCUGGGUUCAGUUCCCCAGUACCUCCA